UCUACUCUGCUCCGAACUUUUGUUAGACCCCUUUCACACAGGCAAUUUCUGUUGCGGCAAUUCUUAGUUUUAUAGGAGAGGGCGCGACGAGGAGAGGAGAAUCGCGCCGAUUCUGCUGUGUUCGAGCAACACGCUUUGUGUUCUUAAGCAGCUACUACAUAGCUCGAGAAUGCGAAUGCGAACGUUUGACAUUUGAGUUGAAGACACAUGUUCUUAAGAGAUGAGCUACAUACCCAGCAAGUCGUGGGUACUGAAACUCCAAUAUAUUCAAAGAAAUUUUUAUAACACCACUACAUACACACAUAUGCAACAAAGGGCGAAAUGUGCAUAAACAUUUACCUCAACUCUUCUUUCGUACAGCACCCUGAAUGAUAGAAAGAAACAACCAAGAAGUUCUCGUUAUUAAACAAGUUUUGUUUUGAGCUACAUAUAUCAUGGCUGCUUGUGAAGUAUUAUUUUGCGUGUUUUGUUUAAAUUAAUGAUCUGUAACCUAAUUAAAGUUUAAAUUAUUGAAGCACGCAUUUUUAAAUAAGUAAAACGUAAAAUAAAAGUUUGCUAAAGCCAAAAUAUGCAAUUGAAGAGGGUGAUACAGUAAUACUUUGCAUUGUCAAUUCGAAGCACCCAAUAGAAGCUACGCCAACAAUGGUCAACAUCAAGGGCGAAACCAUUGAAUACAUAUUUCAAACCUCAUACGGCGCGUUAAAGGUACGCAACCUAAUUGGUGUCACUUAUGGUAGCAGCGUAGAACUUUCGAAUCGAUGGAAUAUGUGCUGCAAACAAAUCAAGAACUAUGGAUGCAAACGCUGCUACAUCGAACACAAAUAAUUUACACACCAGAUAUUAGGUUUAAUCUUACUUUUUUACGUGCAAUUAAACCUUUUGCUCAACACAAGCCCGGAAAGAACUGAAACGAUAUGGCUUAGGUGCUUUUGUAACCGUUUACUCCGUUCAAUUCCCGCGACGUGUGUAAACUGGGUUUUGCCAAUGAGCUAGAGGGCAAAGCAGUUGCAGUAUUUUUGGGCUUACCGGCGCUUAGCUGUGCCAUUAGCAGCUAAAACACAGAAAUUAGAGGGAGGACUUCUUUGAUCCAUUUUCACCUUGUAUUGAGGAAUCAUACCGUUGCUGUAUCGCUUUACAAGGACAUAAAUUCACCGAAAUUAGUUCAAUGGAAAUACUACAGCAAGAGCAUGGAUGUUCAGACUUGAACGGUGCCGUGCUAGAUUUAGAAUUCCUGAAACAUAAGAAACCCUCCUCCCAGAUGAAUCUAGUACUAGUGAAAUUAAUGAAAGAACAGAUCUUAUAAAAAAUCCGAAAGAAACCAAAAGAGUCCUCACAUAAUGUGCGCAGCUUACACUUCCAGACCGCACGGGAUAUUUGACAUUUUCCACUCUUCCUCCAGCCUUUGUCCGAUAGCAAAAAUUGUUCAAAUAUUCAUUUUCACCUACUUUAUACAUAUAUAUAUAGUGUAGUACGAUAAUAUAUUUAUAAAGUAAAUAUAAUAAUAAACAACUAAAUGGCAUGAUAUUUUAAAUAAAUAUGAAAUAUAAUUAAUGAUUUUGUUAUUAAAUUCUCAUUUGGGAUUUUGGUAGAACUAACCGAAAACAGAGGGUAUAGUUUCUGGGUUUUUGUGGGUCGCAGUACUGAAAGUACAAGUGGAGUUUUGGUUCGCAGUAUUGGGUCUUUCAUCCGUGAUUGUACCAAUAUCAUUCCCCAAAUUGUGCAAGAGGUAUAUAUACAUUGCUAAAUGAUGAAUGUAAUGUGCAAGAAAGGGAUGAACGAUCACACGUACACAAUAGUUUCGGGUACUUUUGUCAAUUCGCCCUUAAGAAUGGCAUAGAAACUUUCAUUGAAACUGCGGGUACCGCUCCCUGGCAUUUCACCGGAGAA
This is a long non-coding RNA of Zeugodacus cucurbitae (melon fly), 1887 nucleotides long. RefSeq lists it as uncharacterized. NCBI's taxonomy places the organism in Eukaryota, Metazoa, Arthropoda, Insecta, Diptera, Tephritidae. The transcript is spliced from 4 exons. The record is from RefSeq and is a predicted model, not a curated record.